Long non-coding RNA from Gallus gallus (chicken), 8497 nucleotides. The record is from Ensembl. NCBI's taxonomy places the organism in Eukaryota, Metazoa, Chordata, Aves, Galliformes, Phasianidae.
GUUGCAUUUCAUUCCAUAGUUAUAGGGAUUUCAGGUGGCUCUCCACUUCCCUGUAACUGCUAAGGAACUGACUCCUGUGCCUUACUUUUAAGAAGAAAAUGUACAACUGCAAAGCACUGUGGUUGUCAAUGAGGCUGAACACAGAGACCCGGUGCAACAACUGUGCCUUCUUGAUUUCCAUGGAGCAACUCAAGAGUUUUCAAAACUCUAGAAUUCUGACCACCUAAGUUCCAUAAGAAAAUGAUGAGCUCUGAGCCAGCAUAAUUGGAUAGUAUUUGGACUUUCUGGAAGACUACAAGACUCUAGUGCAGACAAACAAACAUUCAGGCAAUAAAAUACCAUCACUUCUUUUGUUCAUAAGAAGCCUUUUAUGUGGAAAAUAAAAAAUUAGCAUUAUCUUCUAAUACCUAUAGGAGGAUUUCAGCUGGCCCAAGUGAACAGAAUAAGCACUGCAUCACUGGUGUAUGCUAAGCACGGAGCACAUAGACUUGAAAAAGCACUGAAAUGAAGCAGUGCUCAAAAUAAUGUGAAUGCUUCUUAUAAAGUUGGAGACUUGAUUUAUUAGAAAUGGUUCAAACAUUUUUCCUAAUUAUUGUGAGCAAAGUGCCUAACAAAACUAGAAAAAUGUCUCCAGUUUGGACUCCACUGAGACUAAUACUCAUCCUUCACACUUCAAAGGGCAAAGUUGGGUAGGAGAGAAGACAGAGCAUUGGUUUUAGUCUUAGUCAGAACACUAAAAAGGGCCAUUUAAUGUUAGUAUGUGAGCCAUAGCUAUGUUUUUCAAAUAAAAUUGAAAAUAAAUCUUGAAGUUGAGUUGAAAAAUCUUGCUAUUACCUCAUAACCAUAUUUCUCUUCACAUCUUAAGAGUCAGAGAGAUUCAGAAAUAUAUGCAACACUUUCCCUAGUACUUCAAGGAAGUUGUGCUUCCAUUUUUGAUAGAUAAAACAAGGCAUAGAGUCAAGAUUCAUCUCUGGAAAUGAAUCUAAAUCAGGGUUAGGAAUUUGAUGGUGGGCAUCAUAUUGCCCACCUUUAGAUUUCGAAAAGAGAGAUGCCUGAAGGUGACACACUGAUCUGUAGAUUUAGUUCAUAGAUAACAAUCUUGGCCUAUGUCUGACAAAUUUCAGAUCUCUCUUUUUAGCUUUUUUUUUUUUUUUUCCUGCUGUGUUAGACAACUUACCCAUUCAAUGUAAUAUCUGUGCCAAUGGCCAUUCUGGGCUGCCUUAUUCUGUAUUUAUAUGUCAGGUUAUACACUGUAUUCUAGAAGCAAAUGCAACAUCAAAGUCUCUUUGGAGAUAUGUCUCAGAAUGAUUUGCCAACAGGCAUGAACCUAGCUAUUGUUAGCACCUAAAUUAGGAUUCUAGGAGAUCUGGCUUCCAGUUCAAACCACAAAAACGUGAGAGAUCUCUAGUGAGAGAUAUCUAAUGCUCAGAAAGCUAUAGAACCCUACACCUAAUUUAUAUAUACAGUCACUGUUAAGCCAUAUAUAAAAAUCAGCUAAACAUUACCUUAGCAACUCCAUGCUGAACAUGGUCCUGGUAUCAAAGCACACACAAGAAAAGAUAGUACCUUCUUUCCCACUGUUCAUGAUUUGAUUUCCACAUAAAACCUACCGGGUAUGACAGAAACCAAACUUCAUGAAGUUAACCCUUUAUACAUUUUUUCUUGGUUGUUUAUCUCAACUAUUUAACAAUGUGACCAAUCCUGACAACUUUAUAUUAGUGUAUUAAAAGCUGCUCACUUCCCAAUUUCAUUUGGCCUAGGUUGAAGUCAAGACUUCAAAAGUACAUUUCUUUCCAAAUGCACAAAUAAUCUUGGGUCAAAUGAAAAGCAACGUUGAUAAACCUCUUUUGCUACUGCAGCAGACCAAUGAAAAACAAUAUCUGUGGUAUAGCUGGAAUUCUCUCAAAUACCUGUAAGAUAAGACCACUGUCAUUACAACAGGCUGAAGGUUUAAGAAGUGGUCAAAGAAGGGAGUCCUGUAGAGAUGGGAUGGUGUUGAUCUGUCCAAAACUCCCCAUAUUGCUGCAGAAGUUUUGACUACAAACUUGUUUAUUGCAAACUUGUUGACAAACAGACUUGCGUCUAGCAGGCAUAAAAGUAUGCUCUAGUGAAGCUUGGUAGGGGCUCUGAGACUUUGAAACUUUGGGGUCAGCGCUCUCACAGACCAAGUAUCCCCAUUGACUGGACCAAUGCUGGAAACCAAACCAGUGAUCUCAUUCUUGGUCUGUCUCUCAAUCUCUCAUUCUUUCUUUUUCCCUCAUAAAGUUUUUAAGAGUCACAUAGUUUAGCUGCACAGCUUAGGUAGAUAUAACUGUAAGAGUGCCAAUACUUUUAAGAUAAUUGUAGUACAGAAAUUUCUCAUUAAAAUUGAUGAUUAUAUUUGGACUUUGAGCAUCAGUUUCACCUUAAUCUAACCAGGGGAGAUUUACAAAUUUGGUCACCUCUCCCUCCCUUCACGAGCAGAAUGUGACAGCUUUUGAAAUUAGAGAGCACUUACUCUAAAGCAUGUCUUCUGACUUAGCCUUCUGUGACAUGAACUGUAUGGUAAACAUUUUAAUUUGGGACUUUGAUAGAAGGAAUGACACGAAAGUGUAAAACUGUUUUUGUCAUCCUGCCAGUGGUGUAUGAAGAAAAUACUUUGUCUGAAAGCAAACAAGGAAGGAUUUGGAAGUGCAAGUAACAAGGCUGGAGAUGUGUUACAGGUCAAGCUAGUAGGUCAUUGACAGAACUUGACAUUUCUCUUCUAUUCCUUAUCUCGAUGAAAAAACCCAAAGUUUAAUAGAUCAUUACACAAAGAAAGCACUAUUGCCAAUACUAGUAUUGAUACUAAAAAUCUUGUUUUGACAUCUAGAGUGGUCUUGCUAUCAACACGAUUAAUCACCAACAGCUAGUCAACUUGGCAACAUUAGCAGUAAUUUAACAAAGUUUACCAACUUAUCUUUUAACUUGCCUGCAUGGCCAGUGCAACUCAUUAACAAAAAUAUUAAAAAUGUUUUGAUGAUAUGUUUUCAUGUCGUAUUUUUCUUUUUCUUUUUCCUUGACUAGUUAAGAGCAAAUAUAACCGUCAAUAGAUAUGCAUUUGUGAGAAAGCUGCAGGAAGUCAGGUAGAAAAUGACUAACAAGGAAGACUUAUGACACCAGUAACAUCAAAAUGUAUAAUAAAUUUCAGAACUAUUUGAUCAAGCUUUGCAUUCAUACAUGUAUGUGUACAUACUUCUACCAGCCACACUUAUGGCUGUAACUUAUCAUUAUGUUUAAGUGUUAAAAUACUGUGGAAAAUUCCUUUGGGCAGUAAAAUUUUGAACUUUUUGCUGUACUGAUGUUGCUGCAGAAGUCAUUUUAAGUUUUGGGAACUAUGUACACCAAACGUAGGUGUACACACAGUGUAGGUCUGAAGACAAUCUUGAAAGUGAUUAGGGUACUCCUGAUUCUGAAAAAACUAAGAUAACUUCAUUGAAGAACAUCUGGCAAUCUAAUACAUUUUUGUUACUGAACAAGCAGUAGAUAGGUUUCAAUUUUUACAGAUGUGUAAUUAUCCAAAAUUCUUUGGUGAAAGCCUAUAGCUUGCUUGUGAAUUAGUACAUUGGACUUUUUUAAAGUGAUGAGCCUUUUAUUAUUCAUUCUGUGUUGUAACUGAAGAUGGCAACAUUUUAUAAUCACAGAACCAUAGAAUGGCUUGGUUUGGAAGGGACAUUAAAGACCUUCUAGUUCCAACCCCCUGCCUUGGGCAGGGUUGUCAGCCACUAGAUCUGGCUGCACAAGGACCCAUGAAGCUUGGCCAUGAAUGCCUCCAGGGAUGGGGCAAACACAGCUUCUCUGGGCAGCCUAUAUCAAUGCCUUACCACCCUCUGAGUGAAGAAUUUCUUCUUAACAUCUAAACUUAAAAAUAAAUUUCCAAUUCUGAUUUGCUAGUCUUUACCACUCCCCAAACAAUGAAAAUGUAUUUCUGCUGACAUAGCAUGGAUUUGUAUCUAUUUAGCUAAGCAAUAUCGCUUUGGGUUCAAGUAGUAGGUCCUUGCUUUGGCAUUUUAAAACUCUGUUCUGUCCUACAUUAGAAUAACUCAAGUUCUGUGUCAAUAAAUUCAAAUGUCAUCAAAACUAGAUAUACUUAAACAUUUCAGUGAACAAAUGUCUUCUCUCCACACUCCUACCCUCUUCACCUUUCCUACAAUUAUGAUUUUAAGCAGAAAUUUGUUAGCAUGUUAAUUCUUAGAAAGUUAAUGAAAGGCUUACAUGCACAGAGGGAUUUUACUGUUUUUAUUCAUAGAGCACCCUCUGCCUCAGUUCAGUUAUGAUUUAUCUUGUUCAGUAUUAAGACAUAUUAGCUGCGUAAUACUACAAACACCACUCCUGUUUUAGGAAACAACUGAUAACUUCAUACAGUAGAAUUCUCAGUCCUCCCUAACUAAAUUUAUCUGUGAGCACAUGCAAGUACAAGCCCAUAGCGCACCUACAGAUUCACGCACGUUAAAUAUCUGGAUAAUUCAAAACGUAAUCUACAUUUCCAGUAUUUGUUCAGAAUAUUAUUUUAUUCGCACAACAAAGGCAUCAAUAGCCAGUUCAGCUCUAAGCCAGAUAAUAAAUGUACAAAAUAUCUACAAUAUUUUCAUACUUUCACAUAAAGAUUUUCUUUACUUCAUGGUACAUUUGCUGUAGCACAUGGAUUAAGAUGGGAACUAAAUAAUUUCAUUGACCAUAUCACAUUUUGCAAACCCUGAGCUGAUGGUGUUUAGAACUCUCAUUUAAAAAAAAUAAAUUAAACAUCCUGCUUAAGCACAGAUUUGUAUCAUUCUAAAUGUUGUGUUUGGAAACUAGCAGAAAAAAUAUUUGAGAUUUAAGUUUCUGUUGAAGGAAAAGGUCUUCCAAGUACAUAGCAAGUUUCUGGCUAGUUUCUGGGUUGGGCUUAUCAUAAACUUCCCCCUGUGGCAAAGUCAUCCAGUUCUGGACAUUUUUUUCUUUAUUUUCCCCAGAUUUUUUUUCUUUUCUUUUUUAAAAACACAGAUUUGUCCAAAGCAAUAAUUAGCACACAGUUCUUUAGUACUAAACGCAUGAAAAUUCAAGCAUAUUUUUAUCAAAUAUACACAUCUGGCAAUGCUGUAUGUUAUUUAUGGUCUUUUUUGAUAAAAGCAUAAUUGAUUCAAAUGGGUGAUUCAAAAAUGUAAUUUACAGUCUAGCAUCUUGAUUCUAAAGUUUUAUUUUAAUAACAGCCACCAAGACAGUAAUCAAAUUAUUGGUGAGGCAAAGCUCACAAUUCCACAGAAUUUUUAUGUCUUCAUGCAUUAGAGUGAAGUUCUUGCUUAUCCCUGUCCUUUAUCUGUGUAAAGGGGGAUAUUUACUCCAACUGUGCAUUUUCCAUUCAUUGCAUGAUUCACUGAAUCACAAAAGAAAUACAAAGUUGAUCAACAAGCAAGCAUAAUUAUAAACUAUUAAGUUACUUUCCUCCAUUUUUAUUGCAGCCUCCUUUUAAGCCUGCUUCUGAAUCUGAAGAACAAAUUUCUGCUCUGCAUGGUGUUUUCUUCCCUUCUUUUAAGUCCCUUAAUAUGCCAGACCUCUCUUUUUCAGUCAUAUAAUUACAAUGAUUAGACUUUUUUUCUUUCCAUUCUGACUCUCGGGAACACAGAACUGUAUGUAACCUUUCAGUAUUGCUUUUAGGAAAACAAAGGCAGUUAAUACAUUUGUAAGGAAAAUUACAAAUGAAAGAACUCUGUGUACUUUAGGCAUCAGUUCAAGUUUUCUUUCUAAUAGUGUUCAGAAUGAUACUUAGGUGACACAUUUGGAAUCACAUAUUGCAGAAAAUAUAGUGGACAUCUGAAAAGAUCAGUUUUGUUAUUAAGGUAUGUUGCCAUGGAUUGUUUACAAAUAUCCAGAUGUUCUUGAGUUUACCAUGAGCUUGAUUUGAAAGCCCAAGGCCACAUGUGUACUUUGUUCCUGUUUCUCUCUGUUCUCUAUAAUACGUACUCUAAAAACAGGCUGUAAUUUAGCAAAAAACAACAACAACAACAAAAACCCCUAACCAACGACAACAACAAAACACCAUGAAAUUAAGAACUAUACAGGUAAAGAAAAUGUAUAUUUGAUCUUGCCAGAUAUAAAAGUCGUCCAUGUUUAUUGUUUUCUUUAUACAUUCUCAGAAAGAGAUUACAUAAACGCUGGACAAGAACAAAAAUGAUGCUGCAUACAGGUUUAAGUCUAGUUCAUGCUAUACCUAAGCACAUUUAUGCACAGUGGUCUAGCCAAAAAUAAACAAAAACAGAACCAAGACAGUUGGAACAAAGUUGAAUAAUACAGCAAGUUCAUGACCUACUUUAAGAAAAAAUUGCCUACUACUUUCACAGAUGUUCACUGCUGUGAACUGGGCACGCUAUUCCAGCAUAUGAUUUCUAUUUCCUUCUAAUCUAAAUUAUAAUUUUAAAAAUUAAAAAAAUGAAAGAAAUCCAUUAAUUUCUGAACAAGUUCGUCUCCAAUUUGAAGUAAUGAGUUGUAAAACUGAUGCAAAAAUAAAAAGCAUUUCCAUUUCAAAAUGGAAAAUCAUACUCUUUCACUCUACAAACAAUGAAAUAGAAUACCCCCGCCACCUCGUUGGAAAGUGAUACUGGCAGCUGUGUCUCUUGUAGUGAAUGAAAGUAAGAAAUGAUCUUCAUAUUUACAUUUUACAUUGACUCCAGUAAAAUAUUUUAAAAUCAGAAAAUAGUAUAGAGUGGACAAGGAUUUUCCACUGAUCCUUUCCCACAGUAAGCUUGUCCAGUAGUAGACGUCAUUAAGAUGCAUUUCAUUUCACUGCAGUUGGCAAUAAAGUAACAUUUACACAGAAAUUAGUUCUAAAAUAUGAUACUUAAUAAGUAACAGCUUAGUGGUUUCUAAGUUCUUCUGGAUUGUGAAAUAUUAUUGGUCCAGUCAGUGGACGUUUGUCCCAUUAAAAUACAUUUUAUGUGUAUAUUGAAAAUAAAGUUUCCUUACUCUUUCCUUCAUCAUUGUAUUCUUGAGAAAUUUUGUAUCCCAGUAGUUUUGCCUCAAAUUACUGCUUGAGCACAAAUCCCCAGGUUCUCUGUUUUCAGUCCCAGUUUAUUCUUGUUAUCUCCUUUACUAUUUCAGACAAUUUAAUCCUCUUUGCCAACAGCAGCAAGGAAUGUAAGGCUUCUAGAUGGCUCUAAAAUAAUAUUACUUUCAUCUUCUAUGCUUGUCUCCAUAUUCAAGACACUUUUAUUAAAUAACUCCCCAGCACAAGCUCUACAAUACAUCACAGAACAGAUGUUUUGAGUGUCAGUACAACAGUUAUUGGGGUAUUCUAUUUAUUUUAAUGGGACCCUGGAUCCCUGUAAAUGCAAGGAAUAUUCACAAAUUUACAUAAGAUUUUAUAAUGCAUUUCAAUGAGAAACCAGCAGAGAUUCAGCUCUUCCACACUCAUGUAAUAAAGAAAUGUUUAAGCCCAGAAUCUAGAGACACAACAGAAUGAUUCAGCCAUAUGAGAAGAGAUAAGAGACUUAACUUCUCAGGAGAGCCACACAAUUUGAUGUGGUUUUAAAACAAACUUUUACUAUUAAGAAUUCUUGUCAGAAAUCAUUUACCUCAUUCCCUUCAGAAAGGAAAGAUAAAAAUAGCUGACCAUUCCUAUUUUCCUGGAAUGGUCCCUAUGCUCUCAUUUUUGUAUGUUCUUUCCCUCCUUUAGCCUGAAAAUUGCAACCCAUACGUACUGAGUUAACAAGAUAAAGGGACUGAAUUUUAGCAGAAGAAAUAAGUGCAAUGGUUAAAAUACUCAAAGGCAUGAUGGUAGAAGAAAAUAUGACUCAGCAUGCAUUGUACACAGAGAUCCUAAGGUCUUUCUGAGACAAACUCCUAUAAAGCUGAGAGGGAAGUAAAUAUUUAAGAAUACAGUACUUUGCUCCAAAGAGAGGCUAAUGUGAAAAAUUCCUACCAUGUUUCAAACACACAGUACUGGUCCUAAAACACCAUUUCCUCUAAUACUAACUACUGUUGCCAUCGGUGCCUUCUGGUCUUGUACAUACUGUGGUAUGUACAAACAGUACUUCCUUCAUCUUUGCCUUCACUCAGUAGGAAAAAUCUAAACUUCAGACAUAUCAUGUCUACUUCAAAAGAAGUUAACUUACCAUUAAAGAUGCAGUCCUGCCUCGUUCAUCUUCUUGUUCCUUCUUCUCAAUCCUACCAAAUAAGCACUCAUGCAAACCUGGGCCAGAUUAAGGAGUUGAUUUUUCUGAAAAUAAAAAAAUAUCUUUUAUUUGAAUUAUGAUAUGGCUGCAUUAAUUAAUUUAUUCCAGCAGAAGAAAAGCCCCUGAGAAUGAGAGGAAUGAGGAAGGAAAUAGUUAGAUUUUUUCUUUCAGUUGUGGCAUGGAUUUAAGUCGGACUAAAGUGGCUGUAUAAACAUGGACUUGUACAGAAGGUGAAAAGAGGCCAUCAGAAUGGGUCUUGGGCCUUCAUAGGAUGGCUCUGACAAGAGGGCUCACUCAAAUAAUUGUUUUCAGUUACUCUUGGUAAAAAAAAA